This 665-nucleotide ribosomal RNA is filed under the name Anomala cantori. RNAcentral's name for it is "eukaryotic LSU rRNA". It matches the Rfam family "Eukaryotic large subunit ribosomal RNA", at positions 644 to 1266 of the family's 3401-position model. Lineage: Eukaryota; Metazoa; Arthropoda; Insecta; Coleoptera; Scarabaeidae. The record is from RNAcentral.
GGGACCCGUCUUGAAACACGGACCAAGGAGUCUAGCAUGUGCGCGAGUCAUUGGGACUCUAACGAAACCUAAAGGCGUAAUGAAAGUGAAGGUUCGCCUAGCGCGGACCGAGGGAGGAUGGACGGUCGAACGUGGCCGUCCCGCACUCCCUGGGCGUCUCGUUCUCAUUGCGAGAAGAGGCGCACCAAGAGCGUACACGCUGGGACCCGAAAGAUGGUGAACUAUGCCUGGUCAGGACGAAGUCAGGGGAAACCCUGAUGGAGGUCCGUAGCGAUUCUGACGUGCAAAUCGAUCGUCGGAACUGGGUAUAGGGGCGAAAGACUAAUCGAACCAUCUAGUAGCUGGUUCCCUCCGAAGUUUCCCUCAGGAUAGCUGGCGCUCGCUUCUCGCGAGUCUCAUUCGGUAAAGCGAAUGAUUAGAGGCAUUGGGGUCGAAACGGCCUCAACCUAUUCUCAAACUUUAAAUGGGUGAGAUCUCCGGCUUGCUUGAACUGUGAAGCCGCGAGAUAUCGGAUCAGAGUGCCAAGUGGGCCACUUUUGGUAAGCAGAACUGGCGCUGUGGGAUGAACCAAACGCCGAGUUAAAGCGCCUAAAUCGACGCUUAUGGGAUACCAUGAAAGGCGUUGGUAACUUAAGACAGCAGGACGGUGGCCAUGGAAGUCGGAA